GAUGAACGCUGGCGGCGUGCCUAAUACAUGCAAGUCGAGCGAACAGACGAGGAGCUUGCUCCUCUGACGUUAGCGGCGGACGGGUGAGUAACACGUGGAUAACCUACCUAUAAGACUGGGAUAACUUCGGGAAACCGGAGCUAAUACCGGAUAAUAUAUUGAACCGCAUGGUUCAAUAGUGAAAGACGGUUUUGCUGUCACUUAUAGAUGGAUCCGCGCCGCAUUAGCUAGUUGGUAAGGUAACGGCUUACCAAGGCAACGAUGCGUAGCCGACCUGAGAGGGGGAUCGGCCACACUGGAACUGAGACACGGUCCAGACUCCUACGGGAGGCAGCAGUAGGGAAUCUUCCGCAAUGGGCGAAAGCCUGACGGAGCAACGCCGCGUGAGUGAUGAAGGUCUUCGGAUCGUAAAACUCUGUUAUUAGGGAAGAACAAAUGUGUAAGUAACUAUGCACGUCUUGACGGUACCUAAGCAGAAAACCACGGCUAACUACGU
This 496-nucleotide ribosomal RNA is filed under the name uncultured bacterium. RNAcentral describes it as "partial 16S ribosomal RNA". It matches the Rfam family "Bacterial small subunit ribosomal RNA", at positions 28 to 506 of the family's 1533-position model. The record is from RNAcentral.